RNAcentral lists this ribosomal RNA (385 nucleotides) under Oreolalax longmenmontis. Its description in RNAcentral is "partial small subunit ribosomal RNA". It matches the Rfam family "Bacterial small subunit ribosomal RNA", at positions 848 to 1401 of the family's 1533-position model. The record is from RNAcentral. Lineage: Eukaryota; Metazoa; Chordata; Amphibia; Anura; Megophryidae.
UUGAUUAAUUACAAUUUUAUUCGCCAGGGGACUACGAGCGUAAGCUUAAAACCCAAAGGACUUGGCGGUGCCCUACACCUCCUAGAGGAGCCUGUUCUAUAAUCGAUGAUCCACGUUAUACCUCACCGUUUCUUGCCAAACCCGCCUAUAUACCGCCGUCUCCAACUUACCCUAUGAAGGAUUCACAGUAGGUUUAAAGAUUACUCAUCAGAACGUCAGGUCAAGGUGUAGCGAAUGAAACGGGAAGAAAUGGGCUACAUUUUCUACCUUAGAUCACACGGAUAAUCAAUAUGAAACCUGAUUAUGAAGGAGGAUUUAGCAGUAAAAAGAAACCAACAUGUUCUUUUUAAGUCGGACCUAGGGCGCGUACACACCGCCCGUCACC